Molecule: non-coding RNA, 668 nt
Organism: Solanum lycopersicum (tomato)
Lineage: Eukaryota; Viridiplantae; Streptophyta; Magnoliopsida; Solanales; Solanaceae
Source: Rfam
UGCAAGCGAUGGAUGACACUUUCCAUAAAGUAGCUACCCAGAAAGCAAAGCAGGUUAGGCAGACAUGCGAUAGUACAAGCAAGCUAACAUGCGGACGAGUUUGAAGGCCCACUGGUUGUGAACUUCUUUUCCCUUAGAAAAAACAAUGGCGGUAACUGGGGAAUAAGCAUUGACCAAUUCUGUGCUAACAACCACGAUAACACAGAGGAUACAAGCGUUAUCAAGAAUGAUUGGGCGUACAAUGUAUGACUUUUUAAGUUUGCUUUGGAUUUCUAGGGCUCAACCCUGGAUAGCCGGUGGAAACUAUCAAGCUGGAAUACGGUAGGGGCAGAGGAAAAUUUUGAUAGAGCGUUGAAAUGCGUAGAGAUUGGAAAGAACACCAACUUUGAUGGGCCGAUAUUUGAUACUAAGAGACGAAAGGUAGGGGAAUAAAUAAGAUUAGAUAUCUCAGUAGUCCUAGCCGUAAACAAUAUAUACUAGACAAUGUACGUAUUGAUCUGUACAGUGAUAUAUCUAACGCGUUAAGUAUGCCUGAGGAGUAUGUUCGCAAGAAUGAAAUUCAAAGAAAUCGACGGGGACCCAUUCAGGCGAUGAAGUCGAUGGUAGAAUUGAGUAAUGACUUACCUUGAUAAUAGAUGAGCCCUAGUAGGUAGAAAAUCACCUCUCAC